CUGGGUUGGCGAACCUGCUCCGAC
RNAcentral lists this non-coding RNA (24 nucleotides) under Arabidopsis thaliana (thale cress). Lineage: Eukaryota; Viridiplantae; Streptophyta; Magnoliopsida; Brassicales; Brassicaceae. The record is from RNAcentral.